UCCCUCUCAGGAUCGCACCUGGAGAGUUUCUGGUACUCUACUAGUCUCGGCUACAAGAGGAAGAGCCAAGCAGAGGCAUAUCCCUUCCAUUCCUAGCUUUGAUAGUGAAUAGCGAGUGGAAGGCAACCUGCUACAAGU
Tachyglossus aculeatus (Australian echidna) is the source of this 138-nucleotide small nucleolar RNA. NCBI's taxonomy places the organism in Eukaryota, Metazoa, Chordata, Mammalia, Monotremata, Tachyglossidae. The record is from RefSeq and is a predicted model, not a curated record.